Long non-coding RNA from Triticum urartu, 3369 nucleotides. RefSeq lists it as uncharacterized. NCBI's taxonomy places the organism in Eukaryota, Viridiplantae, Streptophyta, Magnoliopsida, Poales, Poaceae. The record is from RefSeq and is a predicted model, not a curated record.
CCCUACCACUACCAUCCCAGAGGAGGCACGCAUGCCGGCGUACGGAGCCAUCACCAACCGCUCCUCCGCUCCUCUCGCUCUCCAACGCCCACGCGAUGCCGCCUGGAUCGGAGGAAUCGAAGGUCACCGCUCCGCUAUGUUCCGUUUCGGAGCCGAAACAACAAGCAUCCAUGGCCGCUCCGCAACCGAAGGCCAAAGGUGCCGCAUGAACGGCAGGGGAGCUGAAGGCUGAAGGCCGCAGGCGCCGGCCGCCCCGGUGUGAGAGGAAACAGGCGGGUUCUCGGGGACACCCUCAACGUCGUCCAUGGCCCACGUCCUCAACGAGGAAGGAAAUCAGCACAAUGAUCGAAUACCCGAUCGGUUCCAGACCACCCGGCGCGCUCCCCUCACAAGGAUCGAACCUCGUGGCGGCGGGCGAUGGCAGCAGCUCCGCGGUCCUGGUCCGCUCGUCUCAUCGUCCCAUGCGGCUUCGAGGUCACUACGUUCGGCCGUCGGUCCCCCGCGAACAACAUCAUCCACGUCCUCACCGACGCGCGGGGUUCAACAUGGCGCUCGAGACCUCCAGCAUCGCGGAUGACUUCCAGGCCGACGAGCGCGGCACCGGCAUCACCAUCUUCGUCCCCAUCGACGACGCCUUCCCCGGCCUCCCUUCCGGUGCUGCGAUUCCACGUGCUGCACUCCUACUACAGGCUCGGCUCCCUCGAGUCCAUCAAGAACCCCGUCCAGCCCACGUCCUCACCGAAGUGCACCGUGGCCGGCUGCUUCGUGCCUCCAGUUCUAGGUGGAGCAAACAUAAAUGUCGGGGUCGAUGUCGACGGAGCCAUUGAAUCGUGUGAUGUUGAUCCUGAAGCAGCCGGGCUCUGCAAUUGUGACGCUGGACGCUGCAAAGGAGAGGACAUCAUAGCCGGAGUUCGAGUUCGAGACGCAGAGGAGAGGACGCCAUAGCCAAAGUUGAAGACGCAGAGCAGAGGACGAGACGAUUCGGAGGAGCCAGAGUUAACCACGCCGACAACGAUCCAAGCAUCUUUGCUAUUUACCAUUUCCAGGUUGAUUGGUAAUGCAUGCCAAUUACUAUUUGUAGGUUAGGUACUUUCACUAUUUGUAAUAGAAAUGGUAAGAGUUUUAAGCAGGAGGUGGAGCUACUUUUUGUUUGUCAGUUUAAAUUUUACUAAUUUGUAACUGAACUUGAAGCUGCUGUAUCAGGUGACAGCUGGUGAGCAGGAUCGACAAUGGAUUGAUUAGUGUCACCAUCCUUUGGUUCUGAAGCAAUUCUUGAGGCGUCUCCGACCAGAACAAUCUGGUGCCUACCAAGUAUUGUCUACCGAGAUGCCAUGUUACUAGACAAAUAUAACACUAGGAUUAUCUCCAGUCAUGUGUUGUAGCUUCUACCAUGACCCACUGAACAAAAAUUAGCCAUGUUACUAGGCAAGUAUAAACACUGGGAUUAUCUCCAGUCAUGUGUUGCAGCUUCUACCAUGUUCCAGUGAACCAAAAUGAGCACAAUCAUUAAUUGAUGAUACUUUCAUAGAUCAAUAAUUUAUGUCCUUGGUUCUGCACUGAUUUAGUCAUAUUCUUUUUUAUCCCGAAUCUCCAUCAUCGAUUAUUUGUUCAAAUAUUUAUUGCAUUUAUGGAAAAAAACACUCCAUUUUAAUUCUAUUAACCAUAGAUUAAUCCACUUCAAUUAGUAACAACAUCCCAAGCUGAAACUACUGCGGUCUGGUCUGGGACUAGAGUCCCAUUUUUUGUCCACAAUGGAUUCAUUGAUUAUUACUUAUGUUCCACAGUUUCAGUUCAUAUGUGAGGACUGCCCUACGCUCAAGCAACGAGUUACGGCAUGGAUGGAGUGUAGGACGAAGUUCAGGUAAUUAUUUGGCAAUGCAAAAUGAGUACGUUUGUUAUGUUGAUCUGGCUUCCAUUUCUCACAUUGAUGUCUUUGACAACAUAUUUAGGCGCUGCAUGAAUAUAGAAGUGAUGGUCGGAGUAAUUGUGUGGAGAAAUAGAGUUGCAUUGAUUUUUCUGUGUCCAAACCCUCUUAUAACAUUUGGUGAUAUUUUAGGAUGCUGGGUAAAAUUGGAGCUCUCAUUAGUUCCGUGUUUUAGAAUUGAUAUUUAUAAUAUGCAUAGUUCUUUCUACAUUUAAAUUGGGAUGUGACAUAUAUAUACAAAAUCAUGUCUUCUUCACGAGACGUGCAUUGCACGUGCAUGCUUACUUAUGUAUACAAAAUCUUGUUCUACUACUUAUAAGUCAUAACUCGAUUUCAGGCUGUAUCUUCCUUUGUUUCACAACAGUUUACAUUGCUUCUUUUGUUUCCAUUUAUUAGGUUGAUGUACUAUUCUCUUCUUUAUAUAUUUAUACAAGGAGUUCUCCUCCAUGUUCUCAGAAAAACGGAAACGAGUUUUAGCUGCAUUCGAGAAUUGCAUUUUAAAGUAAACUUUCAGCCAUUAUUUUUAACCAGAAAUUCAGUGAUCUCUAUGCAAACAAUUCUCAGUUUUUAAUAAUCUUGCAGGACAUCAGAGAACAGAUGACACAUUGGUCACAUCCCCAGUAAAUGUGUCAAUCAUACUAAACCGUCGAUGGUUUCUAAUUUCCAAUAUUGAAAAAUGCUACUAUAUCUCAAGUAAUAUGAGAGUAUUGAUUAACCCAUUUUCUGUUUCUAAGCUAUCUUUAUUUUUCUUAGUUAUUUUGGUGUUUUGUUUGGCACAGAAGAUGGUUUCAAAACAGAGAGUUGUGGUUUUGAUGCUAUCUGUAAAGGUAAUUCAUAUAUAUCAUAAGUUUAUUAACAUACUUACUUCAUAUGAACAUUAUUCUUUUACUUCGUUAAUAUAUAGGCCAAUAUGUUCGCACCAUACCCUCAGGGCCAUUACCUUGACUGCCCAUUCUAGAUAAUUAAGCUCCAAGGCACUUGGUCAAUCUUAUUGGGACGCAUUGGUACUUACUUUCUGAUGAAGUCGAAUCUACUAUUUUAUUUUAUUUUAUUUUGGAAGCGCUAACCUAAUCUCCUGACAACUGUAAAAAACAAAUUGCAAGUACAUGUGAUGCACAUUGCCACUAUACUAGAGGAAAACUGGGCAAAGUUAAAUGUUGCUGCUUCUUUUUGGCAAAAUAAUGACCAAAACUGUAUUGUUUUCAGUGAUCACAAUCACAAAGAGAUGCCACUCUGAACAUCUGAACAUCUGAACAUCUAGAGAUGCCACGACGUGGUGGAACCCGAUGUCCAAGGGUGCAUAAUCAGUCUCCGGCUUGUGAGUUCGUCCUUGUUUCUCGCAUUGUUUUGUAAUCUGAUAAUGCUUAUGUUCUCAAUAUCUUAAAUGGCAAGACGAGAUUUUGGUGCCGCAUCUGGCACAUCUAUGAAGGCAUUAGCCAUCUGCA